CGGUGAAUACGUUCCCGGACCUUGCACACACCGCCCGUCAAGCCAUGGAAGCUGGGUGUACCUAAAGUCGGUAACCGUAAGGAGCCGCCUAGGGUAAAACUAGUGACUGGGCU
RNAcentral lists this ribosomal RNA (113 nucleotides) under uncultured bacterium. RNAcentral's name for it is "partial 16S ribosomal RNA". It matches the Rfam family "Bacterial small subunit ribosomal RNA", at positions 1360 to 1482 of the family's 1533-position model. The record is from RNAcentral.